Anas platyrhynchos (mallard) is the source of this 2840-nucleotide non-coding RNA. The record is from RefSeq and is a predicted model, not a curated record. Lineage: Eukaryota; Metazoa; Chordata; Aves; Anseriformes; Anatidae.
AGCACUUCCCUCCUGCACUGCCCCCAGAGCUCAUUUCCAUCCUCUCACUCAGUGGCGGGAGGCAGCUGGUGGUGCUUUUACAGCUUGCAGCCUCUGUUUUGGCAGCUGGGACCCUUCCCAGCAUGGGCAGGAUGGGCAGAGGAUGCUUCUGCUCCCUUCAACCUUUAGCUCUUAAAUCACAGCUGCAAAUAAGCUUACAGGUCCAAAGGGGGCUGUGCUGGAGGUGAGGGCACGUCUUCCAUGCCUUGUGCUGCCUCCUGUGCUCCUGCUGCAGGAGAUGAGACCUCAUGAGGGAGCUGACACAGCCACUGGGGACACCAUGGCCUUGGUGAGAUCCAGUCACAGUGGGAACUGGUGGGCACUGGAGCUUGGAGCAGUCCCCAGAGCAAGAAGAGACCCCAGCCUGAAGGCCCAGGGGGUAGCUCAGGCUGGACGGGCCCUCAGGCUCCAUCAUCCUGAAACCCCCCAAGGAUGGAGUCCACACUCACCAAGCAGUUUGAAGGUCCUCAGGGAGGGAGAACCUUCUCCUUUGCUCCAGCCUCAGCCUCUCAUCCCCAGCUCACACCUCCCCUCCACUUCUGGGUGCUCCUGAGGGCUCUUGCAAAUCUCCCUGGGCAGCCCCUAGCUCCCGUCCCUGCUGAAUUUCAUGGGGUGGCUACUGGCCAGAGCCCCAGACCUGCUGUGUCCCUCUGCAUGCUAUGGACAUGUUUUGAGGACCCACAAAAGGGUUUUGUCUGCCAGCUGGUCCUGAUGCAGACUGCGACACAAGUUUUUUCUGCAUUAAACAGCUGGUGGCAGAGCCUGGCAGUAGCAAGUGGCUGAUGAGCUGACACACAUUGUCCUUGCUGCUGGGCUAAAUAACCAGAGGCUUUUUCCCCUCCAGUCUCUUCCUCCUGGAGGAGGCAAGAAUAGCCCCAGGCUGGUGCAGGCACACAGCACAGCGGCUCUGGAUGCUGAUGAUGCCUAAAAGUGUGCUCCCAGGGCAGGAGAAAGGAGCCUCCUGGUCCUGGGAACACCCUGACUCCACGUGUACCAGCUUGGCCCAACAGCUCUUUGCAAGCACUGCAGCUGAAGGAAGGUUCGUCGGGGUGAGAACAGGUUAUGGACUCCUCGUGGUGGAGGGCAAUGCCCACAUUGGGUGGGAUGGGGCUGGUGCAUCUGCACUGCCCUGCCCUGGUGUGGCUGUACCGCCAGGACCCCAGCAGUGCUCCUGUGCUGUGCUGAGCAGCUCCCAAAAGCCAUGCUCAGUGGGGCGAGGAGGGGGUUCCUGGCACUCCAGGUGCUGAUGGAGCACAGGGAGCCUGGCAAAGCUGCCCUGUGCCACUGCCCAUUCACCAGCUUCCCUUCCAGACCGAUCUGGGAAGCCAAGCAGAUGUUUGUAUGGAUGCAGUGGUAGGAUGUGAGUGAUCCUCGCGUUUGUGUUUAUGGCUGUUUAAUGAGCUAUUUUUCCUUCACACCAUUGAUUUCCCUGGGUUCUGCUGAGAUCGCUUGCCUCUGGGCAAUGAGAAGUAACUCAGCUGCUCCAGAGGAGCCAUGCGUCAGCCCCACAGGAUGGGAUAAGGCAGAGCAAGGAGCUGCUUCAGGAAGGGGCUGGUGCCGCUGCACAGCUCAGUGGUGUCUGGGGCCUCAGCUGCACUGGGAGAGGACUCGAACCCAGGGGAGACGUGUCCAGAACUUGGAUGUGCAUCAGGCCCUUCACAUGCUGAAGUGUUGCCUUGUGUCUGGAAGAACCCAAACCUGUCUUUCUCUGUGCUGGGAACUGGCUGUGCACAGUGGGUUUGGCUCUCAUCAUUGUUUCACGCGCACACUCACAGGGACACCUUACCUCACACCACGGUGCUCUGCAGUCAGCACAAAGGGGCCCUGAGAGAGGCCUCGUCCCCCUGGCUACCCAAAACAUCCCCACCUCCCUGUGUCCCCAUGCAGGUCUAAGGCCAAAGGACAGACUGGUAUCACCUCUGCCCCCAGUCAACUCUGGCUCUUCAGCACCCCUGAGACCACUUCAAGGAGCAAGAUGUUGUCCAGGCGCUGGUGCUUGCUGCUCACCUUCAUUCUGCCACCCCAGCAUUCAGGGCAGCCUUGCUCCAUCUCCUGUUUGGCACUGAUAGUGUGAGGAAAAAAUGGGUGCAGCGCUCAUGCCACUUUCUUCCUGCAGCACCUGCAGCACCCGGGAAGCCUCGGUGCUGCAGGAGGCUGCGACCUACCCCGGACACAGUCCUGCUGUAGGUGGCCCUUUUGGGGCAGGGGAGCUGGACCAGGUGCCCCCGACCUCAGCCAUCCGGUGAUCCCGUGGCUCUGGGACACAGCUUGGGGGGGACAGCAGCUGGGCCCCUAUGCCAGGCUCCUAGCGCAUGGGCAUGGCAUGAGGAAGCAGACAAAGAGUGGUGCCACUGAGGCACAGCCACCCACGUCCCCGUGGGGCCACGGUGAGGUCCUGGCCAGUGCCGGUGGCCGGGAGGAGCUGUCUGUGCUACGGGAGGUGGCAUUUCACAUGCAGCCCCUGGGGACAUGAGAGGAUGGGGGGGGGUCAGGCUGCCAAACGGCUUCUGUGUCGGUGUGCUGGCGAGGGAUAAACAAAAGGAGCUGGAAGUCUUAAUGCAUGAUCAAGAUUAUGAUUUAAUUGGCAUAACAAAGGCUUGGUGGGCUAAGCCACAUGACUGGAAUAUUAAUACCAGAGGAUGCCGCUUGUUCUGGAAAGACGGGCAGGGGAUUAGGGAGGAAUGUGUUGCUUUGUAUAUUAAGGAUGAAGACGUUCUGCACUCCCUCUCUCUGCGCUCCAGGGAGAACCUGGAUGCCAUGCUGCCAGUGGCUCUGGGGCGUGUGGAGGGGGCUUCAAGUGA